Molecule: long non-coding RNA, 891 nt
Filed under: Helianthus annuus (common sunflower)
Lineage: Eukaryota; Viridiplantae; Streptophyta; Magnoliopsida; Asterales; Asteraceae
Description: hypothetical non coding rna
Source: RNAcentral
ACAUGUUAAAAUGACGUAAGGCUCAAAAAUAUCACUAGAAUAUAUAUCAUACAUGAUUACAAAGGUGUGACGAUCUGAAAACGGUAUUGUGUUUACAAGCAUCCAAUGCUUAUAAAUCACCAAAGUAGACCUAUCUUGCGAGAACUUGGCGUUGCGAAAGGCCAACCUCAGAGAGAUCGGUGAACAAGUCAUCACUUUUACACAACGCAUACACAAUAUCCACCAUACUAGGUCUCCUUGAAGGAUCCCUAUGUAAACUAGCGAUCGCAAUUGACAUGACAUUCAUAACACUAUCGAUUGAGCACGAUUCCCUCAAAAUAGCAUCAUCGAUGAAAGCUUUUAGCUUAUGUUUUAGUUUUUCGUCAUUUCCAUUGAAAUUUUCAUAGACUUCUACCCAUAACGCCUUCCCCUGGUCAUUGACGGCUUCCCUCCCAGAAAUGAGCUCAAGUAAAAUGACCCCAAAUGAGAAAACGUCCAUCUUAGUAGAGACAAUUCCAUCAGAUAAAUACUCGGGAGCAACAUAUCCUUGAGUUCCCACAAUAUGUCUGGUCAUAGCGUUGCAUCCCGAUUUAGCUAGCCCAAAAUUGGCAAUCUUGGCUCUCAUUUGUGCAUCCAAGAGAAUAUUGCUACUCUUGACAUCUUUAUGCACGACUCGUGGUAUUGUGUGUUCGUGAAUAUACUGAAGACCAUUAGCUAUAUCAACUGCGAUUCUUAGUCUCCUUCUCCAACUUAACCUCUCUGUCUUGCUAUCACGCAGCCUUGUAUAAAGAGAUCCAUUUUCAAGAUACUCGUAAACUAGAUAACAAUUUGAAUCGUCGGUAUCUAUACAAAAUCCUUCCAACAUCACUAAAUUGCCAUGUGAUGUACCUUUUGCAAGAUCUUGAGUUCUUC